AUACGGAGGGGGCUAGCGUUGUUCGGAUUUACUGGGCGUAAAGGGCGCGUAGGCGGAUGUUCGCGUCAGAGGUGAAAGCCCCGGGCUCAACCUGGGAACUGCCUUUGAAACGGGACAUCUUGAGUUCGGGAGAGGGUAGCGGAAUUCCCAGUGUAGAGGUGAAAUUCGUAGAUAUUGGGAAGAACACCGGUGGCGAAGGCGGCUGCCUGGCCCGAUACUGACGCUGAGGCGCGAAAGCGUGGGGAGCAAACAGGAUUAGAUACCCUGGUAGUCCACGCCGUAAACGAUGUGCGCUAGCAGUCGGGGUGCUUGGCACUUCGGUGGCGCAGUUAACGCAUUAAGCGCACCGCCUGGGGACUACGGCCGCAAGGCUAAA
RNAcentral lists this ribosomal RNA (376 nucleotides) under uncultured bacterium. RNAcentral's name for it is "bacterial SSU rRNA". It matches the Rfam family "Bacterial small subunit ribosomal RNA", at positions 523 to 898 of the family's 1533-position model. The record is from RNAcentral.